RNAcentral lists this transfer RNA (66 nucleotides) under Engaewa walpolea. RNAcentral's name for it is "tRNA-Cys". The record is from RNAcentral. Lineage: Eukaryota; Metazoa; Arthropoda; Malacostraca; Decapoda; Parastacidae.
GGCUUUAUAGUGGAAAGAGAAAGAUAUUAAAUUGCAAAUUUAAAGAUGUACUAGGUACUGAAGCUU